This 2628-nucleotide long non-coding RNA is filed under the name Anolis carolinensis (green anole). RNAcentral's name for it is "lncRNA (ENSACAG00000036695.1)". The record is from RNAcentral. Lineage: Eukaryota; Metazoa; Chordata; Lepidosauria; Squamata; Anolidae.
AUGCAGUUUCCUACUUCGACUGAAGGACACUUGAAAUUUGUCAUCUUAUUCUGGAUUCUGUCUGAGAUUACCAUAAUGAGGAUGAUGAUGAUGAUGAUGAUGAUGAUGAUGAUGAUGAUGAUUAUUAUUAUUAUUAUUAUUAUAUUACCCACCACGCCUUACGACUCCAGGGAGGACACAACAUUAAAGCAAAGAGAUAAAACACUAUUAAAAUACAAGAUACACAGAGUUAAAUGCAGGUUAAAAUGCACUGAUAAAUACAGAUUACAAUUCACAAGAUAAAUUGACUGGCUAGGCCUGCCAGAAGAGAUGGGUCUUCAGUUGCAUCUUAAAUUCUAACAACUUUACCAACUUAUUAUCACCAAAGUUCCCAAUUUAUGACAGUAGCUAAACCAGACAGGUCAAAUUAACUGUACACUACUUUAACAUUUUGGAUAUUUACAUGGGAAGGAACAAACAGGUACUAUUUCAGGCUAUUUAUUAUAAGUAUUAAUACACAGAAAUAUAUAAAUACAUAUACAUUCUCUGCAAAGAGAAACACAAACAUAGCAAUGCCUGCUCUGUUAUAUUUCAUAACAUUACAUGUAAGGCAAUGCUAUUUCAUUAUACGAUAUAUAAAACACUUUAUAUUAAGUCAUAGCCAGUAUAUGAUAUUCCUCAAGAAACAUUCAUAUAUGUAUAUCUCCCUGUUCACCUCUUUAACAGAUUAGACAUAUACGGUAAGAACAUCACCCUUUUAAACCCGUUACCAUGUAAUAUUCUCUCUGUAUCAUCCUAAUUAAGCUCUUUCUAAUCACAUAGUUUUCCAUAGUGUCUGCUAACUCAUUAUACAGACACUUGCUAAAGGCUUGUACAUAUUCACAAUUUUAUCCCUUAUCAUAUUCUUAGCCAUUUACAUCUGUUUGAGAAAUGUUACAACUCUCAUAAUCAUAGGCUAUCACUUGUGGGUGAGUGUGAUUGUCUCAAGGGUAGAGUCUUGCAUCCAUAAAUGACUGUAGAGACCUAUUCUCGAUCUGCAUGGUCUUUCACAGUGAGGACAUACAUUUUCAAAUGGAAGGCGGUCCCGACAAGGUUUGCUUGAUGCCUUCUUGGUGGCAUGUUUCUCUCUUUCGCCCUCUAUUAGUUCCUCAUCAAAAUCCACAGCAGUAUCGUAACAGCUGACCUCCAAUUAGAACACUCAAGUGUCAGGGCUUCCCAGUUCUCUGUAUGUAUUCCUUAUUUUUAAGGUUAGCUUUAAGUCCAUCUUUACAUCUCUGUCCACCGACAUUAUGUUUUCCAUUCUUGAGCUGAAAGUAAAAUAAAGUAGAGUCUCACUUAUCCAAGCUAAACAGAAGCUUGGAUAAGCGAAUAUCUUGGAUAAUAAGGAGGGAUUAAGGAAAAGCCUAUUAAACAUCAAAUUAGGUUAUGAUUUUACAAAUUAAGCACCAAAACAUCAUGUUAUACAACAAAUUUGACAGAAAAAGUAGUUCAAUACGCAGUAAUCUUAUGUUGUAACUACUGUAUUUAUGAAUUUAGCACCAAAAUAUCACGAUAUAUUGAAAACAUUGACUACAAAAAUGGCUUGGAUAAUCCGGAGGCUUGGAUAAGUGAGACUCUAUUGUAGCUGCUUUGGGAGACUGUGGUGAGGCAUUCAAACAACAUGGCCAGUCUAGUGAAGUUGAUGGCAGAGAAUCAUUGUUUCAGUGCUGGUAAUCUUUGCUUCUUCCAGAACAUCUGAGUUUGGCCUUCUGACUUCCCAAGAGAUUUGCAGGAUUUUUCAAAGGCAAUGCUGAUGGAAUCGUUUCAGAGGUUGAGAGUGACUUCUAACAGACUUCUGUCUAACACAGACCUGAAAGAGUUAAACCAUAUAAGCAAAGGUGAAUGUACACUACAGAAAAAUAAUGUAUGUGUAUACACUCUUGUAACAAUCCCAAGAAAUGUAAUACAAUUCAGGUUUCUACAACUCUAUAUUAAAGUAAUUCUCUAACAAACUAUAUUGCAUAUAACAAAAUUGCUUUCAGGAUUUCAUAAACAAAGGUACAAUAUCCAUGUCAUACUCUCACAAAGUAUACUAUAUCAAAAGUAAAUAACAGACAAAAAGAGACAACCAAGUCUAUAUUAUUCCUGGAGUUGCGUAGAAUCUUGGGCCAAUGUCAAUUGUAGUAAAAAUAUUCAGUGUCCAAGAUAACAGUUUCUAUAUUCAAAGGAAUUCUUCGUUUGCUUUGCAAUGCCAAGAACUGGAACACAACAAGGUAUCCCGGGUUGUUCCCCUUGUUUCGUUAUCACUUCCUCGGGUGUUGUGUCUGUUUAAAUGUUAUUGUGCUUAGCACGCUAGAUGUACACUACCCCACUAUCCCAGGUUUAUCUGGCAUCCAGCAUUGUGUACACUAGAUUUGCCCUGGGAUUGUUCUCAUAGAAAAACCCCUCCCCAGCUGCCCCUCAGUGGCACCAAACCAACUCUACCGGUUGGCCAUUGCCUGUGGUGACAUUAGCCAAAGUGACCGAAUGACAAGGGAAUAGGGAGAGGAGGAAUCAUUGUUUCCACUCCCCACCCCUUUCCCCAUUCACCUCACCCAACAUCACAAUAGAUGGCAGAUGACCAGUAGGACUCAUGUUGCAACCAGAGACCACCACAACACAGAGGGCAGG